AAUUCGUGAUGUAUGGAGGCCGGCCCGGGCGUUUCAUCUAUUUUUUUUUUUCUCCCCAGUCCUACGAACAAGGAUACCUGUGGCGGCGGCGGCGGCGGCGGGCGGUAGCCAGGCGACGCAGCGGGGUACCCGAACCCAUGCGUGAUGCGUCCCAGGCUUCCGAUCGGCGUGGGCCUGUUUAUGGAGCCAGGUGAAAGGUGUUGUGUCUCCGGUGGAGGCAGUCAAUUAUCUCUGGUAGUGGUCGAUUGGAUUCCUCACUGGGGUGAUUUUAAUGGUGGUGUUAAACUACCGUUUCUGUAGGUCGAUAAUGGCAAUCAAAAUGCUCCACUCUCCGGCGGCCUAUUGUGCAGUUCAAUCACAAUCCCAAUGCUUACUUCCCAUCUAUUUCACGCGCCUACACAUGCACUCUUCCAUUAAACUGUCCUCUCCAUGCUCCAUGCUCCAUGCUUGUCGAUUAGGUCGUCGAUCCAUCUUCUACCUCUGUCGAUUGUCCCUCACUCCUACUUCCUCUCUCCCCCCAUUCUUUCUUGACCAGAUUCAGGAUUCUACUUUAUUCCUGCCUUUUGCCUUUCUUCCAAAUUAUUUGCUGUUUCGUCCUAUUACUGCUGGAUUUGGCCUGCCAGUUGAUAGUAUUUUUUAGUACUAAUUGUCGUAGGUACUGUCUGUGAAAGGAUUGGAGACUGAUUGUGCCCACUUGGUUUACAAAUGAGCAAUGGUUAACGGUCAGUUAAUCUCAUCUUACUUGAGUGACUAUUAUCUGUAGAAUUUCAUGCUACUGUCAGUGUGUAUAGUGGAUAUAUCAUAAUACAACUGACUGUUUUUCUUGCUAUAUGGAGCAAGUUAUUAGGCUGUAGAUAAAAAAUCCACACCUGCUUGAUGUGCGGCCAUGCCAUCGGAACCCUUCAUCCGCAAGCACUGUUUGCACUUUUGGUCCACACAAUAACUUGUGUUUGAUUGCUAACUAUGUAAUUAAUUAUGCCUAUUUUAGUUCUGUUCUAUUGGAAUCCAGAUGUGUAGACGCUACAUGAUUCCGAGCUAGGAGGCCACAACGAUACUUGGUGACAAAUUAUGACAAAAGGUUUGAGGAUGCUCUAAAGAGGUGUGCCAAGUUCAGAAUCUUUGCUCAAUUCAGCUUCAGAGAGGUGCAUCGUUAUCACUUUGUGGCUAUGGAGAAGAUUAGCCCAGUUCACUAUGUUUUUCUGUCUCAGUGGUAGUGGAAUUUUACAUCUGAGGGUGGACAAUUUCUACUUUUCAAUGGUCUAUUUAUGUGGUUAUGUGUUACAAAUAAUGGAAUAUCUGACCCAUAUUUGUUAGUUCUACUUUAAAUAUUUAGUAAUGGCAAUAUUCCAGAUCAACUAUUGUUUGAUUAUUCUUUUUGCAUAUGUGGUACCAUAGGGAAGCAUAGGUCUGCUCACCACAAUGUUCAAGAAACAAGAGCUUUGUUCUCAUCAGAGGAACAUACUGAAGGUAUAUUAUUACAAACACAGCAUAUUGUUAUUGUCAGUCCAACUGCUAAUUAACUAUGAUGAUCAGCUGGGUUCUGGCAGCUAACAAUAUUAUUUUAAGAUAUCGACGAGCCUGAGAAUGUCUAGAAGCAAAAUUAUGGAAAUGGUACUAGAGCUGUAUAGGUGGACACAAGUGAAGCGACGAUAGUCCUUCUUCUAUAUAUGGUCUCCUAAGUGAUAUGGUAAUCUUGUGUUAUUAAUGUAAACACCUUCCUUUCAUAGAGAUAACAAUGUCAGAAGCCAAGGUCUGACAGAAAAAUAAUAGGAACCAUGACCAAAAUAAAGACUAUUUCUCCCCUAAUAAAUAAAUUCGGUCUCCAGGUUCCAAAUGAGUGACGAGUCAGAAUAUUAUUCCUUUUAUGCAGGAAAAAUACGACACUGAUUAUUGGACGAUGUUCUGGGCUAUGAACUAAUGAUAGAUCUUGUGAGAAAAAAACUCUCAUAUUGUGCCUCAUCACUGCAUAUGCUCGGGUUUCUUUUAAAAAAAUUCACCAUAUAAUCAUGUUUAUCUUCUAUGUUAAAACCUGCUAAACUCUAAAUAUGUUGCGAUGGCAUUGUAAACUUCUACUGAGUUUUUGCUCUUGCUGACGGUUGAUGGUCUUAGUUUCACAAAAUUUUAGCUCAUGCGUUGAUGUGAGAGGUUGCGUAGAGGUUAUAUAUAUUAAUUAUUUUAUUGUGUUAAUAUAUAGCAUACUGACUAGAAAUGACCGAUUAAAUAUGACAUCUUUGCUCUCACUAAUAUAGGUUUAUGAUAGUCACUAAGAGAAGGUCUUACAUGGACUGAAAUAUAUAUAGUAUAUGCUGCACAGUCUCAAUUGCUUGUUAUACUGUCGUUUGGUGUAUUGGAAGUUAUUUUAGCAUAUGAAAGCAGAUUUAUGAAUGAAUCA
Molecule: long non-coding RNA, 2392 nt
Organism: Lolium perenne
Lineage: Eukaryota; Viridiplantae; Streptophyta; Magnoliopsida; Poales; Poaceae
Source: RefSeq, a predicted model, not a curated record